RNAcentral lists this ribosomal RNA (504 nucleotides) under uncultured bacterium. Its description in RNAcentral is "partial 16S ribosomal RNA". It matches the Rfam family "Bacterial small subunit ribosomal RNA", at positions 30 to 523 of the family's 1533-position model. The record is from RNAcentral.
AUUGAACGCUGGCGGCAGGCCUAACACAUGCAAGUCGGACGGUAGCACAGAGAGCUUGCUCUUGGGUGACGAGUGGCGGACGGGUGAGUAAUGUCUGGGGAUCUGCCCGAUAGAGGGGGAUAACCACUGGAAACGGUGGCUAAUACCGCAUAACGUCGCAAGACCAAAGAGGGGGACCUUCGGGCCUCUCACUAUCGGAUGAACCCAGAUGGGAUUAGCUAGUAGGCGGGGUAAUGGCCCACCUAGGCGACGAUCCCUAGCUGGUCUGAGAGGAUGACCAGCCACACUGGAACUGAGACACGGUCCAGACUCCUACGGGAGUCAGCAGUGGGGAAUAUUGCACAAUGGGCGCAAGCCUGCUGCAGCCAUGCAGCGUGUAUGAAGAAGGCCUUCGGGUUGUAAAGUACUUUCAGCGGGGAGGAAGGCGGUACGGUUAAUAACCGUACCGAUUGACGUUACCCGCAGAAGAAGCACCGGCUAACUCCGUGCCAGCCGCCGCCGUAA